This 478-nucleotide ribosomal RNA is filed under the name uncultured bacterium. RNAcentral describes it as "partial 16S ribosomal RNA". It matches the Rfam family "Bacterial small subunit ribosomal RNA", at positions 28 to 523 of the family's 1533-position model. The record is from RNAcentral.
GACGAACGCUGGCGGCGUGCUUAACACAUGCAAGUCGAACGGUAAGGCCCUUCGGGGUACACGAGUGGCGAACGGGUGAGUAACACGUGGGUGAUCUGCCCUGCACUUCGGGAUAAGCCUGGGAAACUGGGUCUAAUACCGGAUAGGACCACUGCCUGCAUGGGUGGGGGUGGGAAGCUUUUGCGGUGUGGGAUGGGGCCGCGGCCUAUCAGCUUGUUGGUGGGGUGAUGGCCUACCAAGGCGACGACGGGUAGCCGGCCUGAGAAGGUGACCGGCCACACUGGGAAUGAGAUACGGCACAGACUCCUACGGGAGGCAGCGGUGGGGAAUAUUGCACAAUGGGAGCAAGUCUAAUGCAGCGACGCAGCGUGAGGGAUGCAGGCCUUGGGGUUGUAAACCUCUUGCAGCACAGACGAAGCGCAAGUGACGGUAGGUGCAGAAGAAGGACCGGCCAACUACGUGCCAGCCGCCGCCGUAA